AGAGUUUGAUCAUGGCUCAGAAUGAACGUUGGCGGCGUGGAUUAGGCAUGCAAGUCGUACGGGCCGCAAGGCCAGUGGCGCAAGGGUGAGUAAGGCGACGGUAACCAACCCCAUGACUGGGCAUAGCCGCGGGAAACUGCGGGUAAUUCCCAGCGAUGUCUUCGGAGGGCAUCCCCUGAAGACCAAAGCUCCGGCGUCGU
Molecule: ribosomal RNA, 200 nt
Filed under: uncultured bacterium
Lineage: Bacteria
Description: partial 16S ribosomal RNA
Rfam family: Bacterial small subunit ribosomal RNA
Source: RNAcentral